AACGAACGCUGGCGGCAUGCCUAACACAUGCAAGUCGAACGAAACCUUCGGGUCUAGUGGCGCACGGGUGCGUAACGCGUGGGAACCUGCCCUUAGGUUCGGAAUCACUCCCCGAAAGGGGUGCUAAUACCGGAUAAUGUCUUCGGACCAAAGAUUUCUCGCCUUUGGAUGGGCCCGCGUUGGAUUCGCUAGUUGGUAGGGUAAAAGCCUACCAAGGCGACGAUCCAUAGCUGGUCUGAGAGGAUGAUCAGCCACACUGGGACUGAGACACGGCCCAGACUCCGACGGGAGGGAGCAGUGGGGAAUAUUGGACAAUGGGCGAAAGCGUGAUCCAGCAAUGCGGCGUGAGAGAUGAAGGCCGUAGGGUUGUAAAGCUCUUUUACCCGGGAUGAUAAUGACAGUACCGGGAGAAUAAGCACCGGCUAACUCCGUG
RNAcentral lists this ribosomal RNA (433 nucleotides) under uncultured bacterium. RNAcentral's name for it is "partial 16S ribosomal RNA". It matches the Rfam family "Bacterial small subunit ribosomal RNA", at positions 29 to 507 of the family's 1533-position model. The record is from RNAcentral.